This 119-nucleotide ribosomal RNA is filed under the name Pteropus alecto (black flying fox). The record is from RNAcentral. Lineage: Eukaryota; Metazoa; Chordata; Mammalia; Chiroptera; Pteropodidae.
GUCUGUGGCCAUGCCACCCUGAAUAAGCCCGAUCCCAUCUAAUUUCAGAAGCUAAGCAGGGUCAAGUCUGGUUAGUACUUGGAUGGGAGACCAUGUAGGAAGACCAGGUGCUGUAGGUG